This 531-nucleotide ribosomal RNA is filed under the name Bifidobacterium bifidum. RNAcentral's name for it is "bacterial SSU rRNA". It matches the Rfam family "Bacterial small subunit ribosomal RNA", at positions 157 to 700 of the family's 1533-position model. The record is from RNAcentral. Lineage: Bacteria; Bacillati; Actinomycetota; Actinomycetes; Bifidobacteriales; Bifidobacteriaceae.
CGGGUGGUAAUGCCGGAUGUUCCACAUGAUCGCAUGUGAUUGUGGGAAAGAUUUCAUCGGCGUGGGAUGGGGUCGCGUCCUAUCAGCUUGUUGGUGAGGUAACGGCUCACCAAGGCUUCGACGGGUAGCCGGCCUGAGAGGGCGACCGGCCACAUUGGGACUGAGAUACGGCCCAGACUCCUACGGGAGGCAGCAGUGGGGAAUAUUGCACAAUGGGCGCAAGCCUGAUGCAGCGACGCCGCGUGAGGGAUGGAGGCCUUCGGGUUGUAAACCUCUUUUGUUUGGGAGCAAGCCUUCGGGUGAGUGUACCUUUCGAAUAAGCGCCGGCUAACUACGUGCCAGCAGCCGCGGUAAUACGUAGGGCGCAAGCGUUAUCCGGAUUUAUUGGGCGUAAAGGGCUCGUAGGCGGCUCGUCGCGUCCGGUGUGAAAGUCCAUCGCUUAACGGUGGAUCUGCGCCGGGUACGGGCGGGCUGGAGUGCGGUAGGGGAGACUGGAAUUCCCGGUGUAACGGUGGAAUGUGUAGAUAUCGG